GGGGCUAGAGCUCAGUGGUAGAGUGCUUGCCUAGCACGCAUCAGGCACUGGGUUCGAUCCUCAGUACUAUCA
RNAcentral lists this transfer RNA (72 nucleotides) under Ictidomys tridecemlineatus (thirteen-lined ground squirrel). RNAcentral's name for it is "Spermophilus tridecemlineatus (thirteen-lined ground squirrel) tRNA". It matches the Rfam family "tRNA". From Rfam's summary of the family: Transfer RNA (tRNA) molecules are approximately 80 nucleotides in length. Their secondary structure includes four short double-helical elements and three loops (D, anti-codon, and T loops). The record is from Rfam by way of RNAcentral. Lineage: Eukaryota; Metazoa; Chordata; Mammalia; Rodentia; Sciuridae.